Molecule: unclassified non-coding RNA, 253 nt
Filed under: Glomeraceae sp.
Lineage: Eukaryota; Fungi; Glomeromycota; Glomeromycetes; Glomerales; Glomeraceae
Description: partial contains 5.8S ribosomal RNA and internal transcribed spacer 2
Rfam family: 5.8S ribosomal RNA (bases 1-65)
Source: RNAcentral
GUGAAUCAUCAAAUCUUUGAACGCAAAUUGCACUCUCUUCGGAGAGUAAGCCUGUUUGAGGGUCAGUAUUAGUAAAAAUCGGUUUGGUGCUUCUUUGUGACGCUGCGGAGUUGGGGUCAUCUUAAUACCCUUUAGGUUCUAAGAGGCUUAUUAUUGACUUUGUUUGCGCAUCUUAGAUGUACAUAUAUUCUUUUUUUUAUUCGUCUGUCUUAAUGCUCAAAAUCCUAUUAGAUGCCAUCAUAUCGUGUGGUUU